GAUUAGUGGCGAACGGGUGAUAACACGUGAGUAACCUGCCCUUAACUCUGGGAUAAGCCUGGGAAACUGGGUCUAAUACCGGAUAUGACUCCUCAUCGCAUGGUGGGGGGUGGAAAGCUUUUUGUGGUUUUGGAUGGACUCGCGGCCUAUCAGCUUGUUGGUGAGGUAAUGGCUCACCGAGGGGACGACGGGUAGCCGGCCUGAGAGGGUGACCGGCCACACUGGGACUGAGACACGGCCCAGACUCCUACGGGAGGCAGCAGUGGGGAAUAUUGCACAAUGGGCGAAAGCCUGAUGCAGCGACGCCGCGUGAGGGAUGACGGCCUUCGGGUUGUAAACCUCUUUCAGUAGGGAAGAAGCGAAAGUGACGGUACCUGCAGAAGAAGCGCCGGCUAACUACGUGCCAGCAGCCGCGGUAAUACGUAGGGGGCAAGCGUUAUCCGGAAUUAUUGGGCGUAAAGAGCUCGUAGGCGGUUUGUCGCGUCUGCCGU
Molecule: ribosomal RNA, 491 nt
Filed under: Arthrobacter sp.
Lineage: Bacteria; Bacillati; Actinomycetota; Actinomycetes; Micrococcales; Micrococcaceae
Description: bacterial SSU rRNA
Rfam family: Bacterial small subunit ribosomal RNA
Source: RNAcentral